CGAUGAUGAAACUUCAAGCUGGCACCAGUCUUAGCAGGACUUGUACUCCCAAAUCUGCUGACUUAGCUUUUACGGCCUCACUUCGCGGUGAUGGUCUUUAUCUGAU
RNAcentral lists this small nucleolar RNA (106 nucleotides) under Dactylellina haptotyla CBS 200.50. RNAcentral's name for it is "A. fumigatus snoRNA Afu_190". It matches the Rfam family "A. fumigatus snoRNA Afu_190". The record is from Rfam by way of RNAcentral. Lineage: Eukaryota; Fungi; Ascomycota; Orbiliomycetes; Orbiliales; Orbiliaceae.